Molecule: non-coding RNA, 72 nt
Organism: Desmophyllum pertusum
Lineage: Eukaryota; Metazoa; Cnidaria; Anthozoa; Scleractinia; Caryophylliidae
Source: the annotation of a GenBank genome assembly
UCUCCUGUAGUUCAGUGGUAAAGCAUCCGACCAGUGCGCAGAAGCUCAUAGGUUCGACUCCUGUUGGGAGAA